UGGGGAAUAUUGCACAAUGGGCGCAAGCCUGAUGCAGCCAUGCCGCGUGUGUGAAGAAGGCCUUCGGGUUGUAAAGCACUUUCAGCGGGGAGGAAGGCGAUAAGGUUAAUAACCUUGUCGAUUGACGUUACCCGCAGAAGAAGCACCGGCUAACUCCGUGCCAGCAGCCGCGGUAAUACGGAGGGUGCAAGCGUUAAUCGGAAUUACUGGGCGUAAAGCGCACGCAGGCGGUCUGUCAAGUCGGAUGUGAAAUCCCCGGGCUUAACCUGGGAACUGCAUUCGAAACUGGCAGGGUAGAGUCUUGUAGAGGGGGGUAGAAUUCCAGGUGUAGCGGUGAAAAGCGUAGAGAUCUGGGGGAAUACCGGUGGCGAAGGCGGCCCCCUGGACAAAGACUGACGCUCAGGUGCGAAAGCGUGGGGAGCAAACAGG
RNAcentral lists this ribosomal RNA (429 nucleotides) under Chloroflexota bacterium. RNAcentral describes it as "Chloroflexi bacterium partial 16S ribosomal RNA". It matches the Rfam family "Bacterial small subunit ribosomal RNA", at positions 355 to 776 of the family's 1533-position model. Lineage: Bacteria; Bacillati; Chloroflexota. The record is from RNAcentral.